RNAcentral lists this long non-coding RNA (263 nucleotides) under Prunus persica (peach). RNAcentral's name for it is "long non-coding RNA (PPER_LNC005211)". The record is from RNAcentral. Lineage: Eukaryota; Viridiplantae; Streptophyta; Magnoliopsida; Rosales; Rosaceae.
AAAUCUAAUUUCCAAAACUAUGUAAUACACCAACCACUCCAUUUACGGAAUGAACUUCGUACGAACUUGAAUUGUCCAAUUCUUUGGCCAAUCGAUGUUGGAUUGAGCCAAAAACUCAGUCAACGUCAUAAUAUGGAUGGAGGAGUGAAUUGGUGUGUUUUGAGUGAAAUUCAAUCGCUAAAACUAUGCAAUACACCACCCACUCCAUUUAAGGAAAGAACUUCAUACGAACUUGAAUUUUCCAAUUUCGUGGUUCAAUCUAU